GUGGGGUUGGGGAUGAAGCGGUUGACCCGGUCGCCGAUGAUGGCCUGGGUAUGCCUGCCGUCGCUGUACAUCUGGACGCCGCGCCUACGAAACUUUCU
This 98-nucleotide small RNA is filed under the name Mycobacterium lacus. Its description in RNAcentral is "Mycobacterium sRNA Ms_AS-1". It matches the Rfam family "Mycobacterium sRNA Ms_AS-1". The record is from Rfam by way of RNAcentral. Lineage: Bacteria; Bacillati; Actinomycetota; Actinomycetes; Mycobacteriales; Mycobacteriaceae.